UUGUCUCAAAGAUUAAGCCAUGCAUGUCUCAGUACAAGCCACAUUAAGGUGAAACCGCGAAAGGCUCAUUAAAUCAGUUAUGGUUCCUUAGAUCGUACCCACAUUUACUUGGAUAACUGUGGUAAUUCUAGAGCUAAUACAUGCAAACAGAGUUCCGACCGGAGACGGGAGGAAUGCUUUUAUUAGAUCAAAACCAAUCGGCGGCGGGCCUCGGUCCGUUCGCCGCUCAACUUGGUGACUCUGAAUAACUUUCGGCUGAUCGCACGGUCUCGCACCGGCGACGCAUCUUUCAAAUGUCUGCCUUAUCAACUGUCGAUGGUAGGUUCUGCGCCUACCAUGGUCGUAACGGGUAACGGGGAAUCAGGGUUCGAUUCCGGAGAGGGAGCCUGAGAAACGGCUACCACAUCCAAGGAAGGCAGCAGGCGCGCAAAUUACCCACUCCCGGCACGGGGAGGUAGUGACGAAAAAUAACGAUACGGGACUCAUCCGAGGCCCCGUAAUCGGAAUGAGUACACUUUAAAUCCUUUAACGAGGAUCAAUUGGAGGGCAAGUCUGGUGCCAGCAGCCGCGGUAAUUCCAGCUCCAAUAGCGUAUAUUAAAGUUG
Molecule: ribosomal RNA, 604 nt
Filed under: Rhantus signatus
Lineage: Eukaryota; Metazoa; Arthropoda; Insecta; Coleoptera; Dytiscidae
Description: SSU rRNA
Rfam family: Eukaryotic small subunit ribosomal RNA
Source: RNAcentral